UGAGUAACCUGCCCUUAACUCUGGGAUAAGCCUGGGAAACUGGGUCUAAUACCGGAUAUGACUCCUCAUCGCAUGGUGGGGGGUGGAAAGCUUUUUGUGGUUUUGGAUGGACUCGCGGCCUAUCAGCUUGUUGGUGAGGUAAUGGCUCACCAAGGCGACGACGGGUAGCCGGCCUGAGAGGGUGACCGGCCACACUGGGACUGAGACACGGCCCAGACCUCCCGUACGGGGAGGCCAG
RNAcentral lists this ribosomal RNA (238 nucleotides) under uncultured bacterium. Its description in RNAcentral is "partial 16S ribosomal RNA". It matches the Rfam family "Bacterial small subunit ribosomal RNA", at positions 118 to 351 of the family's 1533-position model. The record is from RNAcentral.